UGGGGAAUAUUGGACAAUGGGGGGAACCCUGAUCCAGCGACGCCGCGUGAGUGAAGAAGUAUUUCGGUAUGUAAAGCUCUAUCAGCAGGGAAGAAAGAAAUGACGGUACCUGACUAAGAAGCCCGGCUAACUACGUGCC
RNAcentral lists this ribosomal RNA (139 nucleotides) under uncultured bacterium. RNAcentral's name for it is "partial 16S ribosomal RNA". It matches the Rfam family "Bacterial small subunit ribosomal RNA", at positions 355 to 509 of the family's 1533-position model. The record is from RNAcentral.